AUAGUUCAAAUGGUAGAGCACCUGCCUAGUAAGCAGAAGGCCCUGAGUUCAAAUCCCAGU
Molecule: transfer RNA, 60 nt
Filed under: Dipodomys ordii (Ord's kangaroo rat)
Lineage: Eukaryota; Metazoa; Chordata; Mammalia; Rodentia; Heteromyidae
Rfam family: tRNA
About the family: Transfer RNA (tRNA) molecules are approximately 80 nucleotides in length. Their secondary structure includes four short double-helical elements and three loops (D, anti-codon, and T loops).
Source: Rfam by way of RNAcentral